Molecule: microRNA, 23 nt
Filed under: Xenopus laevis (African clawed frog)
Lineage: Eukaryota; Metazoa; Chordata; Amphibia; Anura; Pipidae
Also listed under: 1 other name
Description: Xla-Mir-12477-P1_5p (mature (guide))
Source: RNAcentral
UGAGGCUUCCUACUUCAAGGCUG